UGAGGAAUAUUGCACAAUGGGCGAAAGCCUGAUGCAGCAACGCCGCGUGAGGGACGAAGGCCUUCGGGUCGUAAACCUCUUUUCUGAGGGAAGAGACAGGACGGUACCUCAGGAAUAAGUCUCGGCUAACUACGUGCCAGCAGCCGCGGUAAAACGUAGGAGGCGAGCGUUAUCCGGAUUUACUGGGCGUAAAGCGCACGCAGGCGGCUUCGUUAGUCGGAUGUGAAAGCUCCUGGCUUAACUGGGAGAGGCCAUUCGAUACUGCGGGGCUUGAGGUUGGGAGAGGGGUGUGGAAUUCCCGGUGUAGUGGUGGAAUGCGUAGAUAUCGGGAGGAACACCAGUGGCGAAGGCGGCACCCUGGCCCACACCUGACGCUGAGGUGCGAAAGCGUGGGUAGCAAACA
Molecule: ribosomal RNA, 403 nt
Filed under: uncultured Chloroflexota bacterium
Lineage: Bacteria; Bacillati; Chloroflexota
Description: uncultured Chloroflexi bacterium partial 16S ribosomal RNA
Rfam family: Bacterial small subunit ribosomal RNA
Source: RNAcentral